This 467-nucleotide ribosomal RNA is filed under the name uncultured bacterium. RNAcentral describes it as "partial 16S ribosomal RNA". It matches the Rfam family "Bacterial small subunit ribosomal RNA", at positions 28 to 506 of the family's 1533-position model. The record is from RNAcentral.
GACGAACGCUGGCGGCGUGCUUAACACAUGCAAGUCGAACGGAAAGACCCUGCUUUUGUGGGGUGCUCGAGUGGCGAACGGGUGAGUAACACGUGAGUAACCUGCCCUUGACUUUGGGAUAACUUCAGGAAACUGGGGCUAAUACCGGAUAGGAGCUCCUGCUGCAUGGUGGGGGUUGGAAAGUUUCGGCGGUUGGGGAUGGACUCGCGGCUUAUCAGCUUGUUGGUGGGGUAGUGGCUUACCAAGGCUUUGACGGGUAGCCGGCCUGAGAGGGUGACCGGCCACAUUGGGACUGAGAUACGGCCCAGACUCAUACGGGAGGCAGCAGUGGGGAAUAUUGCACAAUGGGCGGAAGCCUGAUGCAGCAACGCCGCGUGCGGGAUGACGGCCUGCGGGUUGUAAACCGCUUUCGCCUGUGACGAAGCGUGAGUGACGGUAAUGGGUAAAGAAGCACCGGCUAACUACGU